UUUCCGUAGGUGAAGCUGCGGAAGGAUCAUUGUC
RNAcentral lists this ribosomal RNA (34 nucleotides) under Ficus albipila. RNAcentral's name for it is "partial 18S ribosomal RNA". Lineage: Eukaryota; Viridiplantae; Streptophyta; Magnoliopsida; Rosales; Moraceae. The record is from RNAcentral.